This 250-nucleotide ribosomal RNA is filed under the name uncultured bacterium. RNAcentral describes it as "partial 16S ribosomal RNA". It matches the Rfam family "Bacterial small subunit ribosomal RNA", at positions 524 to 773 of the family's 1533-position model. The record is from RNAcentral.
UACGUAGGGUGCGAGCGUUGUCCGGAUUCACUGGGUGUAAAGGGAGCGCAGGCGGGUUGGCAAGUCAUUGGUGAAAUUCUCAGGCUCAACUUGGGGACUGCCAAUGAUACUGCUGAUCUUGAGUACGGGAGAGGAAGACGGAAUUCCUGGUGUAGCGGUGAAAUGCGUAGAUAUCAGGAAGAACACCGGUGGCGAAGGCGGUCUUCUGGCCCGUUACUGACGCUCAUGCUCGAAAGCGUGGGGAGCAAAC